UACGUAGGGUGCGAGCGUUGUCCGGAAUUAUUGGGCGUAAAGGGCUCGUAGGCGGUUUGUCGCGUCGGGAGUGAAAACACACAGCUUAACUGUGUGCUUGCUUCCGAUACGGGCAGACUAGAGGUAUGCAGGGGAGAACGGAAUUCCUGGUGUAGCGGUGAAAUGCGCAGAUAUCAGGAGGAACACCGGUGGCGAAGGCGGUUCUCUGGGCCGGAACUGACGCUGAGGAGCGAAAGCGUGGGUAGCAAACAGG
Molecule: ribosomal RNA, 253 nt
Filed under: uncultured bacterium
Lineage: Bacteria
Description: partial 16S ribosomal RNA
Rfam family: Bacterial small subunit ribosomal RNA
Source: RNAcentral